RNAcentral lists this ribosomal RNA (410 nucleotides) under Quasipaa exilispinosa (Hong Kong spiny frog). Its description in RNAcentral is "partial 12S ribosomal RNA". The record is from RNAcentral. Lineage: Eukaryota; Metazoa; Chordata; Amphibia; Anura; Dicroglossidae.
GAAAGGUUUGGUCCUAGCCUUAUUAUCAAUUUUUUCUUAAAUUACACAUGCAAGUCUCAGCACACCCGUGAGGACACCCUUAAACCCUUAACCAGACUAAGGAGCCGGCAUCAGGCACAACAUUUGCCCACAACGCCUAGUCCCACCACGCCCCCAAGGGCAUUCAGCAGUGAUAGAUAUUGCUAAUAAGCGACAGCUUGACCCAGUUAAAGAAAAUAGAGCCGGCCAACUCGGUGCCAGCCGCCGCGGCUAAACCGCAUGGGCUCAAACUGAUAGUUACCGGCGUUAAGCGUGAUUAAAGUUUUCCCCCAAAUUAGAGUGAAACCUAUACUUASCCGUGAAAAGCUUGAACUAGAGAAAAUCAUAAACGAAAGUUACUCUAAUUAAUCACUUGAAUACACGACAGCUAG